Molecule: long non-coding RNA, 406 nt
Organism: Epinephelus lanceolatus (giant grouper)
Lineage: Eukaryota; Metazoa; Chordata; Actinopteri; Perciformes; Serranidae
Source: RefSeq, a predicted model, not a curated record
GGGGAACACACCGAGGGCACCUGGUGAGGAAUGGCUCGUACUACUGAAGAACAACACACAGACGUGACUGAAUUUUUCACACGACGUAUCAUAUGUUGGACAUUUAACUUGAAGUUUACUUAAACAUCACGAGAACCAAAUGGCCGACUGCAGACAGCGGACAGCACAGCAGAACAGCGGCCCAGUGUGGCCCAUGUCCCAUCCACUUACAUUGAAGGGGUGGGGAAUAUGACCCAUCCUGCAGCCAGCCACCAGGGGGCGAUCAAGAUAUUUUGGCUUCACUUUUGGGGAGCUUUCAUGUCCUCUAUCUUUUAUUACAUAUGGUCAUGACAGAUACUUAUCUUAUAUACUUAUCAGCCAGCAAUCAUUACUGCAUAUCUGUAUAUGACAAGAUACAGAAGAAAAU